RNAcentral lists this ribosomal RNA (491 nucleotides) under uncultured bacterium. RNAcentral describes it as "partial 16S ribosomal RNA". It matches the Rfam family "Bacterial small subunit ribosomal RNA", at positions 29 to 506 of the family's 1533-position model. The record is from RNAcentral.
AGUGAACGCUGGCGGUAGGCCUAACACAUGCAAGUCGAACGGCAGCACAGUAAGAGCUUGCUCUUACGGGUGGCGAGUGGCGGACGGGUGAGGAAUACAUCGGAAUCUACUUUUUCGUGGGGGAUAACGUAGGGAAACUUACGCUAAUACCGCAUACGACCUACGGGUGAAAGCAGGGGAUCUUCGGACCUUGCGCGAUUGAAUGAGCCGAUGUCGGAUUAGCUAGUUGGCGGGGUAAAGGCCCACCAAGGCGACGAUCCGUAGCUGGUCUGAGAGGAUGAUCAGCCACACUGGAACUGAGACUCGGUCCAGACUCCUACGGGAGGCAGCAGUGGGGAAUAUUGGACAGUGGGCGCAAGCCUGAUCCAGCCAUACCGCGUGGGUGAAGAAGGCCUUCGGGUUGUAAAGCCCUUUUGUUGGGAAAGAAAAGCAGCAGGUUAAUACCCCGCUGUUCUGACGGUACCCAAAGAAUAAGCACCGGCUAACUUCGU